Molecule: ribosomal RNA, 391 nt
Filed under: uncultured bacterium
Lineage: Bacteria
Description: bacterial SSU rRNA
Rfam family: Bacterial small subunit ribosomal RNA
Source: RNAcentral
AGCGAACGUUAGCGGCGGGCUUAACACAUGCAAGUCGAGCGAUAAUCGGGACUUCGGUCCUGAGGACAGCGGCAGACGGGUGAGUAACACGUAGGUAAUUUUCCGUUCGGUGGGGGACAACGGUUCGAAAGGACCGCUAAUACCGCAUACGUUCUAGGGGACCUCGGUCUUCUAGAGGAAAGCUGGGCAACUGGCUCCGAAUGAGAAGCCUGCGUCGCAUCAGCUAGUUGGUGGGGUAAUGGCCUACCAAGGCGAAGACGCGUAGCUGGUCUGAGAGGAUGAUCAGCCACACUGGAACUGAGACACGGUCCAGACUCCUACGGGAGGCAGCAGUGGGGAAUAUUGGACAAUGGGCGCAAGCCUGAUCCAGCCACGCCGCGUGAGUGAUGAA